AGAGGUUGUCCACAUGGCAAGAGAGAGAUGCAGAACGACUUAAUCCGUUGGCUGGGAAUCUGGCCCUGGCUUCAACUGACCGCCUUGGUGGCAGUGUACAGGUGAUGACCUCAACGAACGGAGAACUGAAUGUGGACGACCCGACAGCCGGUCACUCCCACACGCCGAUCGCUGCCCAGCCGGACGUCGAGCUCCUAGAUGAGACCAAGUGCUGCUGCUUCAAGCGCAGGAAGAGGAAGAAGAAAACCACGCGACAGAAAUGAUAUAAGGACGUCUCCCCGAGCCAAGAUUUGGACACGAUGUUGCUACAGUCACAGUCGUGAGAACGCGUGCGCGCCGUCGCCGCGGCAACGAAACUGUAGCUAUGUACAUAUACGGCAUGCGUUCUUGCAACGAGAGCGAAAGCGUUUGUUUUGAAAUAGUACGUAUGAGGUCAUCUCUUUGGAAAGAAAUCAUGUGAACGUAACUGUGCUGCUUCUUGAAGGAUAUAUGUAUGUGUGUAUGUAUGUAUAUAUAUAUAUA
Molecule: long non-coding RNA, 522 nt
Organism: Priapulus caudatus
Lineage: Eukaryota; Metazoa; Priapulida; Priapulimorpha; Priapulimorphida; Priapulidae
Exons: 2
Source: RefSeq, a predicted model, not a curated record